GUGUGGCAGCGUGGAGCGAUCCAUGAGGAAAGUCCGAGCAUCACAGGACAGGAUAACUGCUAACGGCAGCCGAAGGCGACUUCAGGGAAAGUGCAACAGAGAGAUACCGCCGGGGUUUCCCCGGUAAGGGUGGAAAGGCGAGGUAAGAGCUCACCGGGGCAAGGGGAACCUUGCCGCCAUGUAAACCCUAUCCGAUGCAACACCAGCUGGGAGGCGAUCACUGGUCCGGUGCUCCCGAAAGGUGGCUUGAGCGGCGCGGCGACGCGUCGUCGAGAUAGAUUGUCACACACGACAGAACUCGGCUUACAGGUCCUCUCA
This 318-nucleotide RNase P RNA is filed under the name human gut metagenome. RNAcentral describes it as "Bacterial RNase P class A". It matches the Rfam family "Bacterial RNase P class A". From Rfam's summary of the family: Ribonuclease P (RNase P) is a ubiquitous endoribonuclease, found in archaea, bacteria and eukarya as well as chloroplasts and mitochondria. Its best characterised activity is the generation of mature 5'-ends of tRNAs by cleaving the 5'-leader elements of precursor-tRNAs. Cellular RNase Ps are ribonucleoproteins. The record is from RNAcentral.